UACGGCCAUAUAACAUUAAAACACCUGUUCCUCUAUGAUCAUUGAAGUUAAGCAACGUCGAGUCUAGUUAAUACCUAGAUGGAUUACCGCAUGGGAAUACCAGGUGCUGUAAG
Acanthosepion pharaonis is the source of this 113-nucleotide non-coding RNA. The record is from the annotation of a GenBank genome assembly. Lineage: Eukaryota; Metazoa; Mollusca; Cephalopoda; Sepiida; Sepiidae.